GGGUCGGGCCUUUCAGGCAUCCUCUCCUAAAAACUUUUAAGGCCGGUCGCGAGACCGGCCUUUCUUUUUGGCUGCG
This 76-nucleotide small RNA is filed under the name Sphingomonas lycopersici. Its description in RNAcentral is "Makes More Granules Regulator RNA (mmgR)". It matches the Rfam family "Makes More Granules Regulator RNA (mmgR)". From Rfam's summary of the family: SuhB later renamed mmgR (makes more granules regulator) was a putative non-coding RNA found multiple times in the Agrobacterium tumefaciens genome and related alpha-proteobacteria. Other non-coding RNAs uncovered in the same analysis include: speF, ybhL, metA, and serC. The record is from Rfam by way of RNAcentral. Lineage: Bacteria; Pseudomonadati; Pseudomonadota; Alphaproteobacteria; Sphingomonadales; Sphingomonadaceae.